CCUGACUCAACAACUUCUUAAAAAUAUAACACCUCCAUUCUCCAGGUGGGCUCCUGAUUUCAACUACAACUUAAAGAUAUAACACCUCCAUUCUUCAGGCGGGCUCCUGACUUCAACUACUUCUUAAAAACAUAACACCUCCAUUCUCCAGGCGGGCUCCUGACUUCAAUACUUCUUAAAAUAUAACACCUCUAUUCUCUAUGCGAGCUCCUGACUUCAACUACUUAUUAAAACACAAUACCUCCAUUCUCCAGGCGGGCUCCUGACUUCAACUACUUCUUAAAAAACAUAAAACCUCCAUUCUCCAGGCGGGCUCCUGACUUCAACUACUUCUUAAAAGCAUAAUACCUCCAUUCUCUAGGCGGGCUCCUGACUUCAACUAAUUUCUUAAAAAUAUAACACCUCCAUUCUCCUUGCGAGCUCCUGACUUCGACUACUUCUUAAAACAUAACACCUCCAUUCUCCAGGCGGGCUCCUGACUUCAACU
This 487-nucleotide long non-coding RNA is filed under the name Nicotiana tabacum (common tobacco). RNAcentral describes it as "long non-coding RNA (NTAB_LNC010861)". The record is from RNAcentral. Lineage: Eukaryota; Viridiplantae; Streptophyta; Magnoliopsida; Solanales; Solanaceae.